Podarcis lilfordi (Lilford's wall lizard) is the source of this 69-nucleotide non-coding RNA. The record is from the annotation of a GenBank genome assembly. Lineage: Eukaryota; Metazoa; Chordata; Lepidosauria; Squamata; Lacertidae.
GGCCUAGCUCAGAGGUACAGUAUCUGCUUUGCAUGCAGAAGGUCUCAGGUUCAAUCCCUGGCAUCUCCA